AAGUGGAUAUCCUGAUUAGCUCUUCCUUCGGCCCAGUCCAGAAUGAACUUCUGCGCAGAGACUGUUUUACCAAUGCCAGCGACUCCCUUUGUCAGCACAGUUCUGAUAGGCUUGUCUUGUCCAGCUCUGUAAAGAUCUUAUUGAGAAGACUUGGGUUUCCUAGGACAGCUAUUCCUUCAAACACACACCAAAACUUCUUCUUCAGGAAGUGAAGUGUGAUCUUCAGAGCCCCCUCUCUGGCCCUGCUCUCCUGCUUCUCAUCUUCAGCAUCCUCUCUCUAACUCUAUAAGCAUUCUGGGAGAUCUGGACUCAUUCUGGGAGAAUCCUCUUGAAACUCUUCAGUUCUUUCUUCACUAAAGUGAUGACAGUCUCUUCAAGUGACUGAGAAAGAGAUGUUAAGAUAAGUGUUUUAUUUUUAUUUUUUUUACAUUUAGGUGUAAUUCAUUCUGCACAAGCAACUGAAACCAACCAAUACAAAAAAAAAGUUAAUUAAAAUGAUAUUUGGCCUUCUUUUCAGCAGUUUUUACAUUUAGGUAAACCCAUUGGGAAUUCAGACAAAAAAGUUAAGUUCAAUUCUAUUUUUAUGUAUGACAUCUCACCAUGAAUGUUUUAUUGUACCUUUAUUUAACUAGGCAAGUCAGAACAAAUUCUUAUGUUCAAUGAUGACCUAGGAACAGUGGGUUAACUGCCUUGUUCAGGGGCUGAAUGACAGAUUUUUACCUUGUCAGCUCCAGGAUUCGAUCUUGCAACCUCUCAGUUACUAGUCCAACGCUCUAACCACUAGGCUGCCUGCCGCCCCAUGAGGAAUAUUGAGUCCAGGUCUGUUGUAUGACUUUGGGAAGACUGACCACUGGAAAUAUCUGCUUCCGAUCUCUCCUGUUGGUCUCUGUAAGAAAAAGAAGUUGACUACAACUGAUCAACCAGCUUCACCCCAAAACAAUGACACAAUACUUCGUAUCCCUGUUUAGUAGAGAAGUCUCCCUCUCUGAGGUUUACUGGUUUUCCCAUAGACUGUUCACUCUUCAUCAACAGACAGCUGGGUACAGGGGAGUCUGGGCUCUUGUGUCUGUGCAUCAAAGCUGGGACCGAGUGACUGAAAAACAGCUUCUAUCUCAAGGCCAUCAGACUGUUAAAACAGCCAUCACUAACAUUGAGUGGCUGCUGCCAA
This is a long non-coding RNA of Oncorhynchus mykiss (rainbow trout), 1168 nucleotides long. RefSeq lists it as uncharacterized. NCBI's taxonomy places the organism in Eukaryota, Metazoa, Chordata, Actinopteri, Salmoniformes, Salmonidae. The record is from RefSeq and is a predicted model, not a curated record.